GGGAUCAUUUAUCGAGGAGUCUUGGCCAAGGCCUGUCUGCAACAGAAAUCUGAAAGGAAUUCAUCUAUAAUGGAAGCUCGGGUGAAGGCUUACAGUGGAAAUCCGGUAUGGACCACUCGUGGUAGAAAUUUGAAGUAGAUCGUUUGCAGUGGAAACUCGGAGUGGGUCGCUUGCAGUAGGAGCUCAGAGACCGGCUCCCGUAGGAGUCUGGAUGAAGUCUUCUUGCAGU
Molecule: long non-coding RNA, 229 nt
Filed under: Elaeis guineensis (African oil palm)
Lineage: Eukaryota; Viridiplantae; Streptophyta; Magnoliopsida; Arecales; Arecaceae
Description: long non-coding RNA (EGUI_LNC054756)
Source: RNAcentral